This 497-nucleotide ribosomal RNA is filed under the name uncultured bacterium. RNAcentral describes it as "partial 16S ribosomal RNA". It matches the Rfam family "Bacterial small subunit ribosomal RNA", at positions 28 to 507 of the family's 1533-position model. The record is from RNAcentral.
GACGAACGCUGGCGGCGUGCCUAAUACAUGCAAGUUGAGCGCUGAAGGUUGGUACUUGUACCAACUGGAUGAGCAGCGAACGGGUGAGUAACGCGUGGGGAAUCUGCCUUUGAGCGGGGGACAACAUUUGGAAACGAAUGCUAAUACCGCAUAAAAACUUUAAACACAAGUUUUAAGUUUGAAAGAUGCAAUUGCAUCACUCAAAGAUGAUCCCGCGUUGUAUUAGCUAGUUGGUGAGGUAAAGGCUCACCAAGGCGAUGAUACAUAGCCGACCUGAGAGGGUGAUCGGCCACAUUGGGACUGAGACACGGCCCAAACUCCUACGGGAGGCAGCAGUAGGGAAUCUUCGGCAAUGGACGAAAGUCUGACCGAGCAACGCCGCGUGAGUGAAGAAGGGUUUCGGAUCGUAAAACUCUGUUGGUAGAGAAAAACGUUGGUGAGAGUGGAAAGCUCAUCAAGUGACGGUAACUACCCAGAAAGGGACGGCUAACUACGUG